Thunnus maccoyii (southern bluefin tuna) is the source of this 1397-nucleotide long non-coding RNA. RefSeq lists it as uncharacterized. The record is from RefSeq and is a predicted model, not a curated record. The transcript is spliced from 3 exons. NCBI's taxonomy places the organism in Eukaryota, Metazoa, Chordata, Actinopteri, Scombriformes, Scombridae.
UGGCGAGGAUGAUGAUGUUAGCCUGGAAUCUGGAACUCUUGAGUAAUGAACAAACUCACCAGUUAAUGUAAAUUAACUAACUCACAAGGCUUCAAUAGAGCUGCAACCGAGCGGAUCCUCAGGACGCCGGGGUGUGACGUCAUGACCCUUCCUUCUUCUGCAGUUUCCUCGGUUUGUGGGCGGAUGGAAAGACUGACAGGCAUAGCGACAGUAACUAAGGCGGGUGAAGCUCGGAGGGUCGAUGACUGUUUGUUUUCUGAGCACAUAAAAGUUGUGGUGAAGGGUGAUUUGUUUUUGCACUGUGUGUUGUGUGUUUAUUUGUUUCACUUGGUAUGAUGUCAUGAUGUGUCAUUAUGUGGACUGUAACCAGGUAACCGGCUCACCUGUAGAGGAUCUGUAGUGAACUCUUCAUAUUUGUCAGAACGUCUGCAGAGUUUUAUUCUUUUCUCAAAAGUAAAUCUGACUCUCAGAGCUGAUGGAUGCAGUUGUUUCUUCGCCGCGGUUAACAAAACCUGCUUGUUAUUCCGUUGCCUAGCGACCGCCGUACGACUGUCUUGACAGUCUGACGCGGGGACUCAAGAGGAAUCAGUCAUAAUGCAGCACGACUGUGGAUAAGCUUAAACACACUGCGGAGGGUAUUUAUGUGUGUAAUGACGAGGUAAUCACACUUAACUUUAUUCCCUCCACACCCAGCCAAUCCAGACUGAGGGCGGUGUCUUAAUCCACCAAUUAUUCACCUGUCUCCCAUUAGAUCGUCUGCACACACACACACACACACACACACACACACACACACACACACACACAGCGUAUCCAAACCUCCUCCGUCCUUUUGGGGGACAGCAGCCAAAUGAGUUGUUGAUCUUUUCAAUAAUCGUCGUCACUCUGAAUCAUUUCAGUCUGGUUUCAUAUUUCUUCACUGAAACUCGGCUCAUGUGAUCAUAUUACUCACACUGACACCGGUAUUAACGUCUCUGUGUUUACACCUGCACACGUAUGUUUGUCUCAGGAGACAGAAGCUACUGAUCAGAGUCCAGAAUUCAUAAAAAAAUGUGUGUUUCAGGUGGAUAUCAGCUGAUGUGUCCAGCAGUGAUGGAAAGUAACUAAAUACUUUGACUGACGACUGUUUUUUCACGAUUUUUUGACUAAACGAUCAACGAAUCGAUAAAUAACUGAUAUUAGAUGAAGUUUGGGGCCGUUUUGCAUAACGAGUACUUCUGUACUUUUACUUCAGUAAUAUUUUACUUGAUAGUAUUUUCAUACUUCCUGCGCUGCAGCGUAUAGGAGAAGUUGGCAGACGCUCUCCUUCGUUCUGGGAGAAUUAAAGAAAGAAAAUGUUCUCCCAUCCAUCAGCGUGGACAGGACCGGACUGCAACAACAUGCCUCUUCCCUCUCGG